UCAUGCUAGCUCUGUGCCUGGAGAAAAUUUUCUGAGCACAAAGAGGUAGAAUGCAACCAGAAAGAAAACUGUGGCCCUACUGAACUGAGGAAGAAGAGGUCAGAGUUCUGGAAUCAGAAAGAGCAAGUAGGAAGGGUGCUGCACCUAAGGACUCUAGAUCCUUGGUUUGGGACUGGGCCUCACACAUGUAAUGUGAGGCUCUUGAGACUGAGGAGGACUGCUGUUCGGUCAGGAUCAGAAGGAAUAUGCUAGAGUUCAAGCCACCAUGCAAGAUCCGUGAGCAACUCCUUAGGUGAAUUGUGAAAGACAGCCAGGGCCUAUAUUUGGAGUGCAAGGGUUCUGGAAGUUUCUGUAUGUCCUGGAAGUAAUGUGGAUGUGGUAAGAGAACUGGAAAAGAGCAGAGAUCAGGAAGCAGAGGCUGAAGAGUGAGAAGAACACCAGCACUAGAGGCCACCACUGGGAGGUCAGCAGGGGAGAAGUACAGAACCUGAGAGAACAGAUGAAUUCAGCAGUGCUUCAUGAUAACAAAUUCUUCAAAUUGCUCGGGGUUAUUUAGUGGCCAGUGAAAACUGUGAUCUAUACUGAUUAUCUGAAGAAACUUUCGUGUGUAGA
RNAcentral lists this long non-coding RNA (612 nucleotides) under Homo sapiens (human). Its description in RNAcentral is "HSALNT0337500". Lineage: Eukaryota; Metazoa; Chordata; Mammalia; Primates; Hominidae. The record is from RNAcentral.